AUUGAACGCUGGCGGCAUGCUUUACACAUGCAAGUCGGACGGCAGCACAGAGAAGCUUGCUUCUUGGGUGGCGAGUGGCGAACGGGUGAGUAACAUAUCGGAACGUACCGGGCAGUGGGGGAUAACUAAUCGAAAGAUUAGCUAAUACCGCAUAUUUUCUGAGGAAGAAAGCAGGGGACCAUUUGGCCUUGCGCUGUUUGAGCGGCCGAUAUCUGAUUAGCUAGUUGGUGGGGUAAAGGCCUACCAAGGCGACGAUCAGUAGCGGGUCUGAGAGGAUGAUCCGCCACACUGGGACUGAGACACGGCCCAGACUCCUACGGGAGGCAGCAGUGGGGAAUUUUGGACAAUGGGCGCAAGCCUGAUCCAGCCAUGCCGCGUGUCUGAAGAAGGCCUUCGGGUUGUAAAGGACUUUUGUCAGGGAAGAAAAGGGCGGGGUUAAUACCCCUGUCUGAUGACGGUACCUGAAGAAUAAGCACCGGCUACU
Molecule: ribosomal RNA, 484 nt
Filed under: Neisseria flava
Lineage: Bacteria; Pseudomonadati; Pseudomonadota; Betaproteobacteria; Neisseriales; Neisseriaceae
Description: bacterial SSU rRNA
Rfam family: Bacterial small subunit ribosomal RNA
Source: RNAcentral